RNAcentral lists this long non-coding RNA (412 nucleotides) under Hordeum vulgare. Its description in RNAcentral is "long non-coding RNA (HVUL_LNC008510)". Lineage: Eukaryota; Viridiplantae; Streptophyta; Magnoliopsida; Poales; Poaceae. The record is from RNAcentral.
AUGGAAAGACAUUGCAGUAACUGGAUCCAGGGAUAAAGCAAAUUGGUCCAACCAUCUAAACUCAAACCUUGCCUUGCUUAGUGCAUCAUCCCAUGCUUGUGCAUAGGGGUGACGCUUUGCCAAAUCAGCAGCAUGAGCAGCGAUUUUGUAGGAUAUCACACCUGUCUUAACAUCAUCCCUGUUAGGCAACCCAAGGUGCUCCUUUGGUGUUACAUAACAAAGAAGUGCGGUGCCAAGAGCCCCAAUGUUGGCAGCACCAAUGGCUGAGGUGAUGUGAUCAUAACCAGGUGCAAUAUCAGUUGUCAAUGGACCCAGCGUAUAGAAAGGUGCUUCGUUGCACCACUCCAGCUGUUUCUCCAUAUUUUCAGGAAUUUUAUGCAUCGGAAUAUGCCCAGGACCUUCAUUCAUCACC